Molecule: ribosomal RNA, 301 nt
Filed under: uncultured bacterium
Lineage: Bacteria
Description: partial 16S ribosomal RNA
Rfam family: Bacterial small subunit ribosomal RNA
Source: RNAcentral
CAGUCGCCGCGGUAAUACGAAGGGUGCAAGCGUUAAUCGGAAUUACUGGGCGUAAAGCGUGCGUAGGCGGUUUGUUAAGUCUGCUGUGAAAUCCCCGGGCUCAACCUGGGAAUGGCAGUGGAUACUGGCAAGCUAGAGUGUGUCAGAGGAUGGUGGAAUUCCCGGUGUAGCGGUGAAAUGCGUAGAGAUCGGGAGGAACAUCAGUGGCGUAGGCGGCCAUCUGGGACAACACUGACGCUGAGGCACGAAAGCGUGGGGAGCAAACAGGAUUAGAUACCCGCGUAGUCCCUGUCUCUUAUAU